UCUCCGUUGGUGAACCAGCGGAGGGAUCAUUACAGAGUUGAAAAACUCCAACCCCUGUGAACUUUACCUCUUUGUUGCUUCGGCGGCUCGGUCCCCUCGGGGUUCGACGCCGCCGGAGGUUCCAAACUCUGAAUUUUAUUGUAUCUCUGAGACUUAAAAACAAAUAAUCAAAACUUUCAACAACGGAUCUCUUGGUUCUG
RNAcentral lists this unclassified non-coding RNA (200 nucleotides) under root metagenome. RNAcentral's name for it is "partial contains small subunit ribosomal RNA, internal transcribed spacer 1, and 5.8S ribosomal RNA". The record is from RNAcentral.